Molecule: long non-coding RNA, 897 nt
Organism: Lynx canadensis (Canada lynx)
Lineage: Eukaryota; Metazoa; Chordata; Mammalia; Carnivora; Felidae
Exons: 4
Source: RefSeq, a predicted model, not a curated record
UGGGGGAGGAGCGGUCGCCGCGCGUUAGUCAGGGAUCGGUGCGGGUCCUGGUUCCAAUUGAGCCUGUGCCAAAUGUGCUCCUGCCACAUCAUCCCCACUUGAGAACACUGCUAUAGAGCUACAAGAUUAUAGGUAUUUGGUCUGCUGUUCAAAUUAUUGAAGUAAAUCAUUCAGUGUGAAGUAUGAGCCUCAAGUCAAAUUCUGCCAGUGGAACUGAUGAGAGGUGGCGAAUGACUCAAAUGGAGGAGAAGAGAGAUUUGCAAGCUGGAGUGGGUUUGUGGAAAGGACUUCAUGUGAGUCCAGAUCAAGAAGCAAAAUGAAAAGAAUGAAAUUCUUGGACGGUUCUGUUUACAAGUUAAAACCUACAACUUACCGCUAGAGGGCGCUCUUCACUUUGUUAUCUCUCAGAAGCCUUGCCUGGCAAUGGCUGCCAUUCAAAAGGAAAACAUCGCACUUAAUGUUUGUGAAUUGUGUAAGAAUAAUCAGAAGAACCCCACAAUGCUGGUCAGAUUUUUUACCCUUAACGCUUCUGUUGGUUGUGAUGUAAAGUCCUUGACUGAAUCAAAUGUAAACUGUAAGGAUUCAGCAAAUCCAGGUUGCCUGUGCAAAUACCCAUAACAUGUAAUUCACUAUCAACGUUUUUAUUCUCAUAAAACAGACAAAGCACACAAUUAAGAAACUUUAUGCUUCUCUCAUGUUUUCACUUUCAUAGACGCGAUUUCGCAUAUUGAUCACUUUCAUACCAUAUCUUUGUGAGAGGUUUUAUAGCACAAAGUCAAAUAGUUCAUUGGUUUCUUUUUCUUCUUUUUUUUUUUUCCAGAAUGAUAAAUAAUUGACCUUAUAAAAAUCCUGGUCAUUGCACUAAUUUCAUGGAGCUGGUCUAACAUAUCCCUAACU